Molecule: non-coding RNA, 135 nt
Organism: Triticum aestivum (bread wheat)
Lineage: Eukaryota; Viridiplantae; Streptophyta; Magnoliopsida; Poales; Poaceae
Source: Rfam
AUACUACUCUCUCCGUCCCAAAAUUCUUGUCUUAGAUUUGUCUAAAUACGGAUGUAUCAAGUCACAUUUUAGUAUUAGAUACAUUCGUAUCUAAAGGAAUCUAAGACAAGAAUUUUAGGACGGAGGGAGUACUAG